AUGAACGCUGGCGGCAUGCCUAACACAUGCAAGUCGAACGAGACCUUCGGGUCUAGUGGCGCACGGGUGCGUAACGCGUGGGAAUCUGCCCUUGGGUUCGGAAUAACAGCUAGAAAUGGCUGCUAAUACCGGAUGAUGACGUAAGUCCAAAGAUUUAUCGCCCAAGGAUGAGCCCGCGUAGGAUUAGCUAGUUGGUGAGGUAAAAGCUCACCAAGGCGACGAUCCUUAGCUG
Molecule: ribosomal RNA, 232 nt
Filed under: Sphingomonas sp. ISO750_OTU1069
Lineage: Bacteria; Pseudomonadati; Pseudomonadota; Alphaproteobacteria; Sphingomonadales; Sphingomonadaceae
Description: partial 16S ribosomal RNA
Rfam family: Bacterial small subunit ribosomal RNA
Source: RNAcentral